CCUACGGGUGGCAGCAGUGGGGAAUAUUGGGCAAUGGGCGCAAGCCUGACCCAGCAACGCCGCGUGAAGGAAGAAGGCUUUCGGGUUGUAAACUUCUUUUCUCAGGGACGAAUCAAGUGACGGUACCUGAGGAAUAAGCCACGGCUAACUCCGUGCCCGCCGCCGCGGUCAUACGUAGGUGGCAAGCGUUAUCCGGAUUUACUGGGUGUAAGGGGCGUGUAGGCGGGACUGCACGUCAGAUGUGAAAACCAUGGGCUCAAGCUAUGGCCUGCAUUUGAAACUGUAGUUCUUGAGUACUGGAGAGGCAGACGGAAUUCGUAGUGUAGCGGUGAAAUGCGUAGAUAUUAGGAGGAACACCAGUGGCGAAGGCGGUCUGCGGGACAGCAACUGACGCUGAGGCGCGAAAGCGUGGGGAGCAAACAGGAUUAGAUACCCUUGUAGUC
Molecule: ribosomal RNA, 443 nt
Filed under: uncultured bacterium
Lineage: Bacteria
Description: partial 16S ribosomal RNA
Rfam family: Bacterial small subunit ribosomal RNA
Source: RNAcentral